This 75-nucleotide transfer RNA is filed under the name Nitrososphaerota archaeon. RNAcentral's name for it is "Thaumarchaeota archaeon tRNA-Arg". It matches the Rfam family "tRNA". From Rfam's summary of the family: Transfer RNA (tRNA) molecules are approximately 80 nucleotides in length. Their secondary structure includes four short double-helical elements and three loops (D, anti-codon, and T loops). The record is from RNAcentral. Lineage: Archaea; Thermoproteati; Nitrososphaerota.
GGGUUCGUGGCGCAGCAUGGAUAGCGCGGUAGCCUCCUAAGUUACAGGUCGAGGGAUCGAAGCCCUCCGAACCCG